Molecule: ribosomal RNA, 510 nt
Filed under: uncultured Glomus
Lineage: Eukaryota; Fungi; Glomeromycota; Glomeromycetes; Glomerales; Glomeraceae
Description: SSU rRNA
Rfam family: Eukaryotic small subunit ribosomal RNA
Source: RNAcentral
AGCAGCCGCGGUAAUUCCAGCUCCAAUAGCGUAUAUUAAAGUUGUUGCAGUUAAAAAGCUCGUAGUUGAAUUUCGGGAUCAGUAGGUUGGUCAUGCCUCUGGUAUGUACUGGUCUCACUGGUUCCUCCUUCCUGAUGAACCGUAAUGCCAUUAAUUUGGUGUUGCGGGGAGACUGGACUGUUACUUUGAAAAAUUAGAGUGUUUAAAGCAGGCUUACGCUUGAAUACAUUAGCAUGGAAUAAUGAAAUAGGACGUUCGAUCCUAUUUUGUUGGUUUCUAGGAUUGACGUAAUGAUUAAUAGGGAUAGUUGGGGGCAUUAGUAUUCAAUUGUCAGAGGUGAAAUUCUUGGAUUUAUUGAAGACUAACUACUGCGAAAGCAUUUGCCAAGGAUGUUUUCAUUAAUCAAGAACGAAAGUUAGGGGAUCGAAGACGAUCAGAUACCGUCGUAGUCUUAACCAUAAACUAUGCCGACUAGGGAUCGGAUGAUGUUAAUUUUAUAAUGACUCAUUC